CGGCGGACGGGUGAGUAACACGUGGAUAACCUACCUAUAAGACUGGGAUAACUUCGGGAAACCGGAGCUAAUACCGGAUAAUAUAUUGAACCGCAUGGUUCAAUAGUGAAAGACGGUUUUGCUGUCACUUAUAGAUGGAUCCGCGCCGCAUUAGCUAGUUGGUAAGGUAACGGCUUACCAAGGCAACGAUGCGUAGCCGACCUGAGAGGGUGAUCGGCCACACUGGAACUGAGACACGGUCCAGACUCCUACGGGAGGCAGCAG
RNAcentral lists this ribosomal RNA (264 nucleotides) under uncultured Staphylococcus sp. RNAcentral describes it as "partial 16S ribosomal RNA". It matches the Rfam family "Bacterial small subunit ribosomal RNA", at positions 96 to 354 of the family's 1533-position model. Lineage: Bacteria; Bacillati; Bacillota; Bacilli; Caryophanales; Staphylococcaceae. The record is from RNAcentral.